This 1075-nucleotide ribosomal RNA is filed under the name Chaetomidium sp. Its description in RNAcentral is "LSU rRNA". It matches the Rfam family "Eukaryotic large subunit ribosomal RNA", at positions 326 to 1436 of the family's 3401-position model. The record is from RNAcentral. Lineage: Eukaryota; Fungi; Ascomycota; Sordariomycetes; Sordariales; Chaetomiaceae.
CCCAGAGACCGAUAGCGCACAAGUAGAGUGAUCGAAAGAUGAAAAGCACUUGAAAGAGGGUAAAUAGCACGUGAAAUGUGAAAGGGAAGCGCUUGUGACCAGACUUGCGCCGGGCAGAUCAUCCGGUGUUCUCACCGGUGCACUCUGCCCGGCUCAGGCCAGCAUCGGUUCUCGCGGGGGGAUAAAGGCCCUGGGAACGUAGCUCCUCCGGGAGUGUUAUAGCCCGGGGCGUAAUGCCCUCGCGGGGACCGAGGUUCGCGCAUCUGCAAGGAUGCUGGCGUAAUGGUCAUCAGCGACCCGUCUUGAAACACGGACCAAGGAGUCAAGGUUUUGCGCGAGUGUUUGGGUGUAAAACCCGCACGCGUAAUGAAAGUGAACGUAGGUGAGAGCUUCGGCGCAUCAUCGACCGAUCCUGAUGUUUUCGGAUGGAUUUGAGUAGGAGCGUUAAGCCUUGGACCCGAAAGAUGGUGAACUAUGCUUGGAUAGGGUGAAGCCAGAGGAAACUCUGGUGGAGGCUCGCAGCGGUUCUGACGUGCAAAUCGAUCGUCAAAUCUGAGCAUGGGGGCGAAAGACUAAUCGAACCAUCUAGUAGCUGGUUACCGCCGAAGUUUCCCUCAGGAUAGCAGUGUUGUCUUCAGUUUUAUGAGGUAAAGCGAAUGAUUAGGGACUCGGGGGCGCUUUUUAGCCUUCAUCCAUUCUCAAACUUUAAAUAUGUAAGAAGCCCUUGUUACUUAAUUGAACGUGGGCAUUCGAAUGUACCAACACUAGUGGGCCAUUUUUGGUAAGCAGAACUGGCGAUGCGGGAUGAACCGAACGCGGGGUUAAGGUGCCGGAGUGGACGCUCAUCAGACACCACAAAAGGCGUUAGUACAUCUUGACAGCAGGACGGUGGCCAUGGAAGUCGGAAUCCGCUAAGGACUGUGUAACAACUCACCUGCCGAAUGUACUAGCCCUGAAAAUGGAUGGCGCUCAAGCGUCCCACCCAUACCCCGCCCUCAGGGUAGAAACGAUGCCCUGAGGAGUAGGCGGCCGUGGAGGUCAGUGACGAAGCCUAGGGCGGAGCCCGUGACACUAC